GGGCUCGAGGGAGAUGGCGCCGCGCUCCCGGAUGAACAGAGAAAGCGACAGGACGCCCUUGCAUACAUUAAGAUACGUAUAUAUGGAAAUGUUAGCGGGAGUCCCGGUUAUCCCAAAAAGGGUUCUUUCCUGUUGUGUGGUGAGGCCAAUGCACGAAACCGAAAGGGUGUGUCAAGCAGUGCAGGCUUUAUUCAAUGGCUAUGGAAUUGGAAGAUCUGAAAUCAACUUAACUUGUGAGAGCUGGGAAGUUACAGACGUAGGGUGUCUUUAAUGAAGGGGCUGGGCAUUAAGAGCAAGGGGGGGGAAUAUUCAUGCUUUUCUUGGGAAAGAACGGAGAUUUUCCUGGAAUCAAGGAACCCCUUUUUUUCUGUCCCUUCUUGGUCUCUUCCAGUCGUUGUCAUGGCGACUGUCAAUUGUCAUGGCGCUGGUGGGAGUGUCGCUUAGCAGGAGAACAGGAUGAUAAUAAAGCCAGAGGGUCUUCAGAGGCGCCAUCUUGGAUUUCGCCAGCUUCAGCUGGUUUCGUCCUAAGAAGGAACUCCAAAACACAGGCAUUCUUUUUCCUGAAAAUAAGCAGAGUUAAAGCUGAGUAGGAAUUUAGCUCUGUCCCAUAUGCUAUCUCACUGGGCAGCAAAAGCAGGGUGGGGUCCAGCGAAAUCAGCAGGCACUGCAAUGGGUAACAGACCCAGCUACAUUUAUGCAGCAUUUUUACAAAAAUGAAACCAUACUACCUGUAAAGGAAGAUAUGCUAACAAACAACAAAACUAGCAGGAACCAAGAUUCCUACUGACGCUACCCUUAAAUAGUU
Molecule: long non-coding RNA, 805 nt
Filed under: Pongo abelii (Sumatran orangutan)
Lineage: Eukaryota; Metazoa; Chordata; Mammalia; Primates; Hominidae
Description: lincRNA
Source: RNAcentral